GACGGAGGGGGCUAGCGUUGUUCGGAAUUACUGGGCGUAAAGAGCGCGUAGGCGGCUUAGCAAGUUGGAAGUGAAAGCCCGAGGCUUAACCUCGGAACUGCUUUCAAAACUGUUAGGCUAGAGUAUAGUAGAGGGUGAUAGAAUUCCUAGUGUAGAGGUGAAAUUCUUAGAUAUUAGGAGGAAUACCGGUGGCGAAGGCGAUCACCUGGGCUAUUACUGACGCUGAGGCGCGAAAGCGUGGGGAGCAAACAGG
This 253-nucleotide ribosomal RNA is filed under the name uncultured bacterium. RNAcentral's name for it is "partial 16S ribosomal RNA". It matches the Rfam family "Bacterial small subunit ribosomal RNA", at positions 524 to 776 of the family's 1533-position model. The record is from RNAcentral.